Molecule: long non-coding RNA, 602 nt
Filed under: Chinchilla lanigera (long-tailed chinchilla)
Lineage: Eukaryota; Metazoa; Chordata; Mammalia; Rodentia; Chinchillidae
Description: lncRNA (ENSCLAG00000027618.1)
Source: RNAcentral
AUAUGUUUAAUGAUUUAUCAAAGAAUUAAAAGAUUACCAAGUACUCUUCAAUGGAUGUUCAUUUGAUUCUAGUAACCCUCUGUGAAGAAUGCAGAUUGAGCUCUUUUAAAAAAGCAUCAGAAAUCAAACUCAAAUGCAAGUGUUUGUCUAUGACCAUCCAAGUGAUAAAAGCUCCAUCCGCAGAAGUAGCAAACCUACUUAUCACAGAGCAAGGGUUGAACAGUCAGAGAACAGAAGCCCAGGAGAAAGAGGAAAAGUCUCACAACAGCACACGAGGUAACCUGACAUCCCUUUAGCCACUGACCACAGUAUCCCAAUGGUACCUCGACUGAGAACAAGAUUGGAGACAAACUGUGGUAACCCUGCGCCUACUUCCUCAAGCUAAAGUAUAGAUUUUAGAGGGAAGCUUUUUUUCCAAAGGGACUGUUGGAGUUCAACAAUGACUUGUUCCCAUGUGUCAAGAAUUCCUGCAAAAAUGGCUCCAGGACAAAAGAAGCAACUCCUGGAAGACACCCUCUUCCUGAGAUCAGAAGAAUUUAUGGAGCUGUACUAUACCUCACCAUCUGGAGUGGCUAUAAAAUAAAUUGAAAUCACCAUUGUUG